GGGCCCGCACAAGCAGCGGAGCGUGUGGUUUAAUUCGAUGCAACACGAAAAACCUUACCAGGGUUUGACAUGCUAGAAGUAGGAACCCGAAAGGGGGACGAACUGUUGAGUCAGUAGCUAGCACAGGUGCUGCAUGGCUGUCGUCAGCUCGUGCCGUGAGGUGUAUGGUUAAGUCCUGCAACGAGCGCAACCCUCGUUGCUAGUUAAUUUCUCUAGCGAGACUGCCCCGCAAAACGGGGAGGAAGGUGGGGAUGACGUCAAGUCAGCAUGGCCCUUAUGUCCUGGGCAACACACACGCUACAAUGGGUGGUACAAUGGGUUGCGACAUGGCAACAUUUAGCUAAUCCCCAAAGCCACCCUCAGUUCAGAUUGCAGGCUGAAACUCGCCUGCAUGAAGUCGGAGUUGCUAGUAACCGCAUAUCAGAAUGGUGCGGUGAAUACGUUCUCGGGCCUU
This 454-nucleotide ribosomal RNA is filed under the name uncultured bacterium. RNAcentral's name for it is "bacterial SSU rRNA". It matches the Rfam family "Bacterial small subunit ribosomal RNA", at positions 917 to 1382 of the family's 1533-position model. The record is from RNAcentral.